AUUGAACGCUGGCGGCAGGCCUAACACAUGCAAGUCGAGCGGGGUGAUGGUGCUUGCACUAUCACUUAGCGGCGGACGGGUGAGUGAUGCUUAGGAAUCUGCCUAUUAGUGGGGGACAACAUCUCGAAAGGGAUGCUAAUACCGCAUACGUCCUACGGGAGAAAGCAGGGGAUCACUUGUGACCUUGCGCUAAUAGAUGAGCCUAAGUCGGAUUAGCUAGUUGGUGGGGUAAAGGCCUACCAAGGCGACGAUCUGUAGCGGGUCUGAGAGGAUGAUCCGCCACACUGGGACUGAGACACGGCGCAGACUCCUACGGGAGGCAGCAGUGGGGAAUAUUGGACAAUGGGGGGAACCCUGAUCCAGCCAUGCCGCGUUUGUGAAGAAGGCCUUAUGGUUGUAAAGCACUUUAAGCGAGGAGGAGGCUCUUUUGGUUAAUACCCAAGAUGAGUGGACGUUACUCGCAGAAUAAGCACCGGCUAACUCUGUGCCAGCCGCCGCGGUAA
RNAcentral lists this ribosomal RNA (503 nucleotides) under uncultured bacterium. Its description in RNAcentral is "partial 16S ribosomal RNA". It matches the Rfam family "Bacterial small subunit ribosomal RNA", at positions 30 to 523 of the family's 1533-position model. The record is from RNAcentral.